AAGUGGGCCAAGAUCCCAACCAUCGUGAUAGAAGACUAAUCUGGAUGACGCAUCUCAAAGGCUUCAGCUUCUCUUGAAACAAGCACAGUUCUCUAUCAUUCGUCAUAUUUCAACCUGGGAUGCAUGUCCAAUGGAAGUCAAUAUUGGAGCUAGGGGACAAGGGAACAUCAAUUGAGCAUCAGGCAUUGUCUUCCCCCCUACCCUUCAGAUACAUCAGUGAUUAGUUGAGCAUGAGCUAGCAGAGUUAUAGCAUAGACCAAACCUAGGAGGGUACGAAAGAGGUCAAACACUUGAGGUGGUCAUACAUGUGCUUCCUCAGAUCGAUGCUCAACUUUCUAUCAAUUUUAGCCGUAUUCACCUUGAUUUUUUCAGGAUACAGAUGAUCAUUCAUGCCCACGUGAAUAGCUAAAGGGAUUCUUGGACUUCCAAUUCCAAUACUAGAUGAUCUUCACCACUAAGAUGUGAACCGCACCAGGCUGCUUGUACUGCUCGUAUUGAAGCUGCAUGCAUAAGCAUUCAUCAUGGCAUCUGAAUUUGGGAAACUGCAUAAGUACCAACUUGUAGAUUAUAUUAUAACUUGAAGUUCUUGGUUUUCAAGUUGGACUAUUAGCAAGUCUCGUAAAACCUUUUGAUUAAUUACAUGGACCGAGGACGGUCUAGUCAAGAAUAUCGAUCUCUUCCAUUGUCUGGACUUUAUUAGACUUACUGGGAAGCUAUGCAAGGUUAUGACAAUGAGCUGUCACUGGAGAAGUUAAACUUGGGAUUGUUCCUUUGGUCUAAGUAGGCUAUGCUAGCUUGUGUAUCCUUCUGCUCGUCUAAGUUAUAUCGUCAUUGUUUAUAUAGGUACAUAACUCCUGCCAUAGAAUUCUAAAUUUGCAUGUUUUAGUAUAUUUGGUGUUUAUCAGUAAUUAGCAAGGAAAAAGAAGUGAGAAUAUUGAUGCAUUAUAUAGACAUGAGAAUGAUGCAUCAGAUGGUUUUCUUGAGAGAUUAAUGUUUGAGUGUGAUAUAGGUGAUCAUGACUGUCAGGAGCUUAAGAGGUUACAAACAGCACCAGUUAGAGACAUGUUCUUAAAGCAUUGAAAGAAGGCAUGAGGUUACUGAAGGCUGCCAGUUUGAAGACCUUCCUGUUUGGUUAUGAUACUCUUC
Long non-coding RNA from Rosa rugosa (rugosa rose), 1146 nucleotides. RefSeq lists it as uncharacterized. The record is from RefSeq and is a predicted model, not a curated record. The transcript is spliced from 5 exons. NCBI's taxonomy places the organism in Eukaryota, Viridiplantae, Streptophyta, Magnoliopsida, Rosales, Rosaceae.